RNAcentral lists this transfer RNA (74 nucleotides) under Vacuolonema iberomarrocanum LEGE 07170. Its description in RNAcentral is "filamentous cyanobacterium LEGE 07170 tRNA". It matches the Rfam family "tRNA". Rfam says of the family: Transfer RNA (tRNA) molecules are approximately 80 nucleotides in length. Their secondary structure includes four short double-helical elements and three loops (D, anti-codon, and T loops). Lineage: Bacteria; Bacillati; Cyanobacteriota; Cyanophyceae; Oculatellales; Oculatellaceae. The record is from Rfam by way of RNAcentral.
UGCCGAGUGGACGAAUCGGUAAAGUCGCCUGACUCUGAAUCAGGAGGUUGCAGGUUCGAGACCUGCCUCGGCAU